Molecule: ribosomal RNA, 406 nt
Filed under: uncultured bacterium
Lineage: Bacteria
Description: partial 16S ribosomal RNA
Rfam family: Bacterial small subunit ribosomal RNA
Source: RNAcentral
AUUGAACGCUGGCGGCAGGCCUAACACAUGCAAGUCGAACGAGAGGCGGACGGGUGAGUAAUGUCUGGGAAACUGCCCGAUGGAGGGGGAUCACUACUGGAAACGGUAGCUAAUACCGCAUACCAUCGGAUGUGCCCAGAUGGGAUUAGCUAGUAGGUGGGGUAACGGCUCACCUAGGCGACGAUCCCUAGCUGGUCUGAGAGGAUGACAAGCCACUCUGGCAUGGAGACACGGUCCAGACUCCGACGGGAGGCAGCAGUGGGGAAUAUUGCACAAUGGGCUGAAUCCUGAUGCAGCCAUGCCGCGUGUGUUAAGAAGGCCUUCGGGUUGUAAAGUACUUUCAGCGAGGAGGCGUUACUCGCAGAAGAAGCACCGGCUAACUCCGUGCCAGCAGCCGCGGUAAUUC